GAGCCGGAGGGAAACCGAGUCUUAAUUGGGCGUUAAGUUGCAGGGUAUAGACCCGAAACCCGGUGAUCUAGCCAUGGGCAGGUUGAAGGUUGGGUAACACUAACUGGAGGACCGAACCGACUAAUGUUGAAAAAUUAGCGGAUGACCUGUGGCUGGGGGUGAAAGGCCAAUCAAACCGGGAGAUAGCUGGUUCUCCCCGAAAGCUAUUUAGGUAGCGCCUCGUGAAUUCAUCUCCGGGGGUAGAGCACUGUUUCGGCUAGGGGGCCAUCCCGGCUUACCAACCCGAUGCAAACUGCGAAUACCGGAGAAUGUUAUCACGGGAGACACACGGCGGGUGCUAACGUCCGUCGUGAAGAGGGAAACAACCCAGACCGCCAGCUAAGGUCCCAAAGUCAUGGUUAAGUGGGAAACGAUGUGGGAAGGCCCAGACAGCCAGGAUGUUGGCUUAGAAGCAGCCAUCAUUUAAAGAAAGCGUAAUAGCUCACUGGUCGAGUCGGCCUGCGCGGAAGAUGUAACGGGGCUAAACCAUGCACCGAAGCUGCGGCAGCGAACGUAUCACUUAAAGCGAUUCAGCGGGUUACGAUUGACGGAGCGAAGCGACGUCAAAGCGUAUACAAAGUCGAGUCGGUUUAAGGAUACGUUCGUUGGGUAGGGGAGCGUUCUGUAAGCCUGUGAAGGUGGCCUGUGAGGGUUGCUGGAGGUAUCAGAAGUGCGAAUGCUGACAUAAGUAACGAUAAAGCGGGUGAAAAGCCCGCUCGCCGGAAGACCAAGGGUUCCUGUCCAACGUUAAUCGGGGCAGGGUGAGUCGACCCCUAAGGCGAGGCCGAAAGGCGUAGUCGAUGGGAAACGGGUUAAUAUUCCCGUACUUGGUGUUACUGCGAAGGGGGGACGGAGAAGGCUAUGUUGGCCGGGCGACGGUUGUCCCGGUUUAAGCGUGUAGGCUGGUUUUCCAGGCAAAUCCGGAAAAUCAAGGCUGAGGCGUGAUGACGAGGCACUACGGUGCUGAAGCAACAAAUGCCCUGCUUCCAGGAAAAGCCUCUAAGCAUCAGGUAACAUCAAAUCGUACCCCAAACCGACACAGGUGGUCAGGUAGAGAAUACCAAGGCGCUUGAGAGAACUCGGGUGAAGGAACUAGGCAAAAUGGUGCCGUAACUUCGGGAGAAGGCACGCUGACACGUAGGUGAAGUGAUUUACUCACGGAGCUGAAGUCAGUCGAAGAUACCAGCUGGCUGCAACUGUUUAUUAAAAACACAGCACUGUGCAAACACGAAAGUGGACGUAUACGGUGUGACGCCUGCCCGGUGCCGGAAGGUUAAUUGAUGGGGUCAGCGCAAGCGAAGCUCCUGAUCGAAGCCCCGGUAAACGGCGGCCGUAACUAUAACGGUCCUAAGGUAGCGAAAUUCCUUGUCGGGUAAGUUCCGACCUGCACGAAUGGCGUAAUGAUGGCCAGGCUGUCUCCACCCGAGACUCAGUGAAAUUGAACUCGCUGUGAAGAUGCAGUGUACCCGCGGCAAGACGGAAAGACCCCGUGAACCUUUACUAUAGCUUGACACUGAACAUUGAGCCUUGAUGUGUAGGAUAGGUGGGAGGCUUUGAAGUGUGGACGCCAGUCUGCAUGGAGCCGACCUUGAAAUACCACCCUUUAAUGUUUGAUGUUCUAACGUGGACCCGUUACCCGGGUUGCGGACAGUGUCUGGUGGGUAGUUUGACUGGGGCGGUCUCCUCCUAAAGAGUAACGGAGGAGCACGAAGGUUGGCUAAUCCUGGUCGGACAUCAGGAGGUUAGUGCAAUGGCAUAAGCCAGCUUGACUGCGAGCGUGACGGCGCGAGCAGGUGCGAAAGCAGGUCAUAGUGAUCCGGUGGUUCUGAAUGGAAGGGCCAUCGCUCAACGGAUAAAAGGUACUCCGGGGAUAACAGGCUGAUACCGCCCAAGAGUUCAUAUCGACGGCGGUGUUUGGCACCUCGAUGUCGGCUCAUCACAUCCUGGGGCUGAAGUAGGUCCCAAGGGUAUGGCUGUUCGCCAUUUAAAGUGGUACGCGAGCUGGGUUUAGAACGUCGUGAGACAGUUCGGUCCCUAUCUGCCGUGGGCGCUGGAGAACUGAGGGGGGCUGCUCCUAGUACGAGAGGACCGGAGUGGACGCAUCACUGGUGUUCGGGUUGUCAUGCCAAUGGCACUGCCCGGUAGCUAAAUGCGGAAGAGAUAAGUGCUGAAAGCAUCUAAGCACGAAACUUGCCCCGAG
RNAcentral lists this ribosomal RNA (2239 nucleotides) under Salmonella enterica subsp. enterica serovar Enteritidis. RNAcentral's name for it is "partial 23S ribosomal RNA". It matches the Rfam family "Bacterial large subunit ribosomal RNA", at positions 663 to 2803 of the family's 2925-position model. Lineage: Bacteria; Pseudomonadati; Pseudomonadota; Gammaproteobacteria; Enterobacterales; Enterobacteriaceae. The record is from RNAcentral.